RNAcentral lists this ribosomal RNA (253 nucleotides) under uncultured bacterium. RNAcentral's name for it is "partial 16S ribosomal RNA". It matches the Rfam family "Bacterial small subunit ribosomal RNA", at positions 524 to 776 of the family's 1533-position model. The record is from RNAcentral.
UACGGAGGGUGCAAGCGUUAUCCGGAAUCACUGGGUUUAAAGGGUGCGUAGGCGGCUUGAUAAGUCAGGGGUGAAAGCCCUCAGCUUAACUGCGGAACUGCCUUUGAUACUGUCGAGCUUGAAAGAGGUUGAGGUCAGCGGAACGUGACAUGUAGCGGUGAAAUGCAUAGAUAUGUCACAGAACACCGAUUGCGAAGGCAGCUGGCUGGACCUACUUUGACGCUGAGGCGCGAAAGCGUGGGGAGCGCACAGG